This 729-nucleotide ribosomal RNA is filed under the name uncultured bacterium. RNAcentral's name for it is "bacterial SSU rRNA". It matches the Rfam family "Bacterial small subunit ribosomal RNA", at positions 78 to 789 of the family's 1533-position model. The record is from RNAcentral.
AGUAGUUGUAACUGAGUGGCGAACGGGUGAGUAACACGUGGGUGACCUGCCUUCGAGUGGGGGAUAACAUCCCGAAAGGGGUGCUAAUACCGCAUGAGAUCCUGCCUUUGAAGAGGUGGAGAUUAAAGCUGGGGAUCGUAAGACCUGGCGCUUGAAGAGGGGCCCGCGUCCGAUUAGCUAGUUGGUGGGGUAACGGCCUACCAAGGCUUCGAUCGGUAGCCGGCCUGAGAGGGCGGACGGCCACACUGGGACUGAGACACGGCCCAGACUCCUACGGGAGGCAGCAGUGGGGAAUUGUUCGCAAUGGGCGAAAGCCGGACGACGCAACGCCGCGUGGAGGAUGAAGAUUUUCGGAUCGUAAACUCCUUUCGAUCGGGACGAACGACUGGUGACCUAACACGUCAUCAGAGUGACGGUACCGAGAGAAGAAGCCCCGGCUAACUCCGUGCCAGCAGCCGCGGUAAUACGGGGGGGGCAAGCGUUGUUCGGAAUUACUGGGCGUAAAGGGCGCGUAGGCGGCCUGCUAAGUCACACGUGAAAUCCCUCGGCUCAACCGGGGAACUGCGUGUGAUACUGGCGGGCUUGAAUUCGGGAGAGGGAUGUGGAAUUCCAGGUGUAGCGGUGAAAUGCGUAGAUAUCUGGAGGAACACCGGUGGCGAAGGCGGCAUCCUGGACCGAGAUUGACGCUGAGGCGCGAAAGCUAGGGUAGCAAACGGGAUAGAUACCCCG